UACAGAGGUCUCAAGCGUUGUUCGGAAUUACUGGGCGUAAAGGGUGCGCAGGCCGCGCGGGCAGUCAAAUGUGUAAUCCAGGGGCUCAACCCCUGAACUGCGCUUGAUACUUCCGCGCUCGAGCUUUGGAGAGGAGUCUGGAAUUCUCGGUGUAGCAGUGAAAUGCGUGGAUAUCGAGAAGAACACUUAGGGCGUAGGCAAGACUCUGGACAAGUGCUGACGCUCAUGCACGAAGGCUAGGGUAGCGAACGGG
Molecule: ribosomal RNA, 253 nt
Filed under: uncultured bacterium
Lineage: Bacteria
Description: partial 16S ribosomal RNA
Rfam family: Bacterial small subunit ribosomal RNA
Source: RNAcentral